This is a long non-coding RNA of Passer domesticus (house sparrow), 410 nucleotides long. RefSeq lists it as uncharacterized. The transcript has 3 exons. The record is from RefSeq and is a predicted model, not a curated record. Lineage: Eukaryota; Metazoa; Chordata; Aves; Passeriformes; Passeridae.
CAGCAGUCACAGAGGUUGCACUUGCUACAAAGCUGCAAGAAGGCUGGCACUGCUUGCCAAAGUCUUUCUUCCUAAGGACCCUGCCCUCUCGCUUCAGGAUCUGCAGGUAUCAAGCAGGAAAAAUUUUCAAGAAGUUCAUCAUUAGCAAGCCUCUUAAUAGUAUCUGCUGCUCAAUGGCCUGAUCCUCACACAGCCCAGCUCCUGGCCAGGGAGAUGCCUGCAGCUCAGGAUGGAACCUGAUGGGUGAAGGUCCCUAUGUAGAUUUAAACCCAACCUAUCCCUGCCUCAUCUGAGGACCUGUCUACCUCUAGGCUGGCCAAGGCUGAAUGUCUGAUUCAUUUGGCAGCUACAAGCUAGCUGCAAACCAUGACAAAGUACAGCAUGUUGAGUAAACUACAUUGAAAUUUUCA